This 282-nucleotide small nuclear RNA is filed under the name Aedes aegypti (yellow fever mosquito). Its description in RNAcentral is "partial AAEL017638-RA". The stretch from base 128 to 277 matches the Rfam family "Nuclear RNase P". From Rfam's summary of the family: Ribonuclease P (RNase P) is a ubiquitous endoribonuclease, found in archaea, bacteria and eukarya as well as chloroplasts and mitochondria. Its best characterised activity is the generation of mature 5'-ends of tRNAs by cleaving the 5'-leader elements of precursor-tRNAs. Lineage: Eukaryota; Metazoa; Arthropoda; Insecta; Diptera; Culicidae. The record is from RNAcentral.
UUAGGAGUGAUUCAGUUGCGAAUAUGCUGUUCAAAAGGUUUUCUUAUUGGAGAGCUUCUUCGCCACGGAUAUUGGUUGUCAAACCAAGUGUGGAACGACCAUCAGCCUUCCGGUCAGGCUUGCGUAGGUUAGUCCACGGACUGGCUUGUUCAUGCCGUGGCUGAAUGGCGUUGGCCUGAAACUGAUAAUUGAGAAAGCGAACUGCUAGCAUUUUUAGUACAAUCUGCGAGCUAUAAGUCAUCCCUGGCUUGUAGAACUCAAUUCAGACUAGUCUAACACUAG